AGAUAUGAUCCAGAGUACCACGGGACACGUGAAACCCUGUGGGAAGCAGGAGGGACCACCCUCCAAGGCUAAAUACUACCUAGUGACCGAUAGCGUAUAGUACCGUGAGGGAAAGGAGAAAAGAACCCCGGGAGGGGAGUGAAAUAGAACCUGAAACCCUGCACUUACAAGCUGUGGAAGCACAUUUCUUGUGUGACCGCGUACUUUUUGUAGAACGGGCCAACGAGUUACGUUAAGUAGCAAG
This 244-nucleotide ribosomal RNA is filed under the name Clostridioides difficile. RNAcentral describes it as "partial 23S ribosomal RNA". It matches the Rfam family "Bacterial large subunit ribosomal RNA", at positions 398 to 644 of the family's 2925-position model. The record is from RNAcentral. Lineage: Bacteria; Bacillati; Bacillota; Clostridia; Peptostreptococcales; Peptostreptococcaceae.